GCACAAACGUGCCGCUACGCGCUCCUCGUUCUGUAAAGACCUCAAUGCUUUUCUAACAAAGCGUUAUUUAGCCAAGAACGGCAAACGUUGCUGCAGAAAACAGCAGCUGGAUUUUGUGGAGAGGUAACGGACUUCAAUUAGUGUGACUCGCAGGUGAACUGAACUCCCGUAACGAAAUUCCCCUCAGCCACGUGAACUCCUCGUCGUUCCGUCAGUGUCACUGCGACGGGCAAAGCGCCCUCUGCCCCCGUUCCAAAUGCAGUAAGAAAUCCGGGCUCCGGCUUCGCUUCGUAUUUGACAAACUAAUUUAAUCAGACCCGUUACGGACACGUGCGGUUCUGCGGGGAAUCGGCACAGUCCGAGCGCCGGCCCCGGCCGCUCCUCCGCUCGGAUUCUCCGGUUUCGAUCUGAGGACCCCGGGGCCGCCCCGCGCUUCGAGCCCACGGGCGGAGACGUUCCGGAAAGCAGACAGCAGCGCACAGCGGUCCGGGUGCGACCCCUCUCGCUCUGCGUGCCGAGACCGCCCCGAAUUAACGUUUCCCGUUCUCCGUCCCUCUUCCCCAGGGCAGCACGGAGCGCUGCGGAGCAUCUCUGUGCCCUCGUGAGAGCCGGCGGUGCAACGAACGGCAGUCGUUCGUACGGCCGGAUCGUUUUCCUGGCGGUAAACCUGCUCAAAGGAAAAAAGCCAAAGACAAAAUGAACAGUUACUGCCCUUCUUUAAGUCAGAACGCGGCUCGGGUGCCGACGGAAUCUGCAGCGCGGGACAGACUCCCACCUCGCGCCCGUCUUUCCCCGCGCAGCGCGUUUGUCCGCACGGCAGCGGCGCAGCUCUGACUUUACGCAACAGUGCUGCGGAACCCGCGAGGCCGAACGUCUGCGAGAGCCGCCCCUGCCGCCGCCCGCCGAGCGCCCCGACCACCCGCAGCACUCCGGGCCGAUCCGACCCGGCCGCCGCGGCGCUGCUGGCGGUUCCCUUCGUCCCGUCUCUGUGGCUCCGCGCUGCCGCCGUCCCCUAAAAAGUACGACCAUAGGAGCCCCCUCCGGCGCAGACCCACCAAGGCACGGACGGGGUUCGAACCCGUGAUCUUCGGUUUACGAGACCGACGCCUUACCACUUGGCCACCGCGCCUGCGUUAACGGCUCGGCCCGAGGCCGUUCUGUCGCUGGCGCCACUCCCGCUGCUCCGCGGCCUUCGCGGUGCGCGCGCGUCAGCACCUGCGGCCGUUAGGCGCGCGCGCGACCGUUGCUCCCUCAGGCGAGGCCGUCCCGCCGCGCGUUCCGCCUGCGCGGCCAGGCGUUCCUCUGCCGAGAGGUGGCCCUCGUGUGCUCAGAGCCGUAAUUGGAGCAGUCUUCCCCGGGACGGGAAAAACAGCUUAGGGAGGAGGAAGAAAAAGCAGGAAGAAAACGCGCAUCCUCCCGGAAACGGAGCGGGAGUGCAGACUUUGCGGUUUCUCGGAGGGACUCUGAAUUGAUACAGUGCUAUGGCAGAAUGGAACAGCGUCCUCGUUCUGCAGAGGAGACUGGAGACUCAUCAUCAGAACUGUGCAUAAAUGUGGCUUGGCUGUCCAGCUUAAACCAAGAGAAAGAACUUUACAGCAAUAGGACUCUAUGAAGAAAAAUGGGAACAGGCUGUGGCAUGCAAGGUGAUAAAUCACCACUGCUUUCCAGCACACUCAUUUUAACUGCUAGAGGAGAUGCAUACAACUUGUUUGGCAUCAGCUGGAAGUUAACAACCAGCAGCAUUCACUUCACUGUGAAACCAGAUCAGAGCUAAUCUGACAAACAGAAGUCAACGGUUAUUUCUUCAGAGAUCACCACUCCUUCAAACAAAUACACCUGAAGUUAGGAAGUUGUGUCAACU
Molecule: long non-coding RNA, 1861 nt
Filed under: Gallus gallus (chicken)
Lineage: Eukaryota; Metazoa; Chordata; Aves; Galliformes; Phasianidae
Description: long non-coding RNA NONGGAT002525
Source: RNAcentral